This 427-nucleotide ribosomal RNA is filed under the name uncultured bacterium. RNAcentral describes it as "bacterial SSU rRNA". It matches the Rfam family "Bacterial small subunit ribosomal RNA", at positions 64 to 507 of the family's 1533-position model. The record is from RNAcentral.
GAACGAGAAAGUGGAGCAAUCCAUGAGUAAAGUGGCGACCGGGUGAGUAACACGUGACUAACCUACCUUCGAGUGGGGGAUAACCUAGGGAAACCUGGGCUAAUACCGCAUAACAUCUUUGGAGUGGAAAUUCUGGAGAUCAAAGGAGCAAUUCGCUGGAAGAGGGGGUCGCGGCAGAUUAGUUAGUUGGCGGGGUAAUGGCCCACCAAGACAGUGAUCUGUAUCCGGCCUGAGAGGGCGCACGGACACACUGGAACUGAAACACGGUCCAGACUCCUACGGGAGGCAGCAGUGGGGAAUUUUGCGCAAUGGGGGAAACCCUGACGCAGCAACGCCGCGUGGAGGAUGAAGCCCUUUGGGGCGUAAACUCCUUUCGACCAAGACGAUAAUGACGGUACUGGUGGAAGAAGCACCGGCUAACUCUGUG